Molecule: ribosomal RNA, 124 nt
Filed under: Fukomys damarensis (Damara mole-rat)
Lineage: Eukaryota; Metazoa; Chordata; Mammalia; Rodentia; Bathyergidae
Source: RNAcentral
GUCUAUAGCCAUACCACCCUAGAUGUACCCCAUCUUGUCUGAUCUCAGAAGCUAAGCAGAGUCAAGCCUGUUUACUAUUUGGAUGGGAGGUUUGUGUCUAGAAGUUAGAUAGGGAUUAGAGCCU